This 73-nucleotide transfer RNA is filed under the name Hericium erinaceus (lion's mane mushroom). RNAcentral describes it as "tRNA-Met". It matches the Rfam family "tRNA". From Rfam's summary of the family: Transfer RNA (tRNA) molecules are approximately 80 nucleotides in length. RNAcentral also lists the same sequence under 3 other names. Lineage: Eukaryota; Fungi; Basidiomycota; Agaricomycetes; Russulales; Hericiaceae. The record is from RNAcentral.
GCUGAAAUAGUUCAAUUGGUUAGAACAUGCCAUUCAUGACGGUAAAACAAAGGUUCAAAUCCUUUUUUCGGCU